GCGCGAAUAGUGUAGAGGUUAGCAUGCAUGCUUCCCAAGCAUGCGACCCGGGUUCGAGUCCCGGUUCGCGCA
Transfer RNA from Ophiocordyceps sinensis CO18, 72 nucleotides. It matches the Rfam family "tRNA". From Rfam's summary of the family: Transfer RNA (tRNA) molecules are approximately 80 nucleotides in length. Their secondary structure includes four short double-helical elements and three loops (D, anti-codon, and T loops). The record is from Rfam. NCBI's taxonomy places the organism in Eukaryota, Fungi, Ascomycota, Sordariomycetes, Hypocreales, Ophiocordycipitaceae.